Molecule: ribosomal RNA, 428 nt
Filed under: uncultured bacterium
Lineage: Bacteria
Description: bacterial SSU rRNA
Rfam family: Bacterial small subunit ribosomal RNA
Source: RNAcentral
GUAGGGAAUAUUGGACAAUGGGGGCAACCCUGAUCCAGCGACGCCGCGUGAGUGAUGAAGGCCUUCGGGUCGUAAAGCUCUGUUGCAGGGGAAGAACACAAUGACGGUACCCUGCUAGAAAGGAUCGGCUAACUUCGUGCCAGCAGCCGCGGUAAGACGAGGGAUCCUAGCGUUGUUCGGAAUUAUUGGGCGUAAAGCGGGUGCAGGUGGCUUGGUAAGUCAGAUGUGAAAGCCUGGGGCUUAACCCCAGAAGUGCAUUUGAUACUGCUGAGCUUGAGUGCUGGAGAGGCUAUUAGAAUUCCUGGUGUAGUGGCGAAAUACGUAGAUAUCAGGAGGAAUACCGGAGGCGAAGGCGGAUAGCUGGCCAGACACUGACACUCAGACCCGAAAGCGUGGGGAUCAAACAGGAUUAGAAACCCCUGUAGUCC